Molecule: unclassified non-coding RNA, 211 nt
Filed under: Hevea brasiliensis (rubber tree)
Lineage: Eukaryota; Viridiplantae; Streptophyta; Magnoliopsida; Malpighiales; Euphorbiaceae
Source: RNAcentral
GGGAUUAAUACUUGGAAGUUUAGCCUGCACGGCAGUUUUUUUCAUGGCAUCGUACGAAAACUAUCCUAGUGGUUAUGCUCUAAAAGCUCUUCAUAGGAUAGGUGGUGUGACAAAGAAUUCAGAUGAACUCAGGGUUCAUAUUGACACUUUUUCAGCGAUGAAUGGGAUAUCCCGAUUUUGUGAAUAUAAUUAUCCAUGGAGGUACUCUAAA